RNAcentral lists this transfer RNA (84 nucleotides) under Candidatus Woesearchaeota archaeon. Its description in RNAcentral is "tRNA-Leu". It matches the Rfam family "tRNA". Rfam says of the family: Transfer RNA (tRNA) molecules are approximately 80 nucleotides in length. The record is from RNAcentral. Lineage: Archaea; Nanobdellati; Candidatus Woesearchaeota.
GCCGGCGUCGGCUAAUCAGGCAUGCCGGCAGCCCGAGAAGCUGUUAACUGAAAGGUCUUCCGGGUUCAAAUCCCGGCGCCGGCG